CAGGGCGUGCGCGUGAGCGGGCGGGGCGGGGUGCGUCCUCGGGGGAGGGGGCCUCACCUCCCACCCGGCUCAGCACCCACUCCGGCCGACCCAGGAGCCGCCCGCCCUUUUUUCUCUGGAAAAUCCUGCCCACUCUGCACCCUCCACGGUUACAGGGACUCGCCUGCUCUGAGCUUCCUAACGCUUGCAGCUCUCUAGAAGGAACGCUGUUGCUCCCGCUAUGGUGGGGACUGAAAUUGGACAGCGCCAGGCCAGAGGGUGCACGCCUGUAACCCCAGACACAAGAGGCCGAGGAAGGAGGAUCUCGGACACUGGGAGGCCCGACUGGACUACAGGCCAGCUUGGGAAACACGGGGGAACUGCGGCCCUUCAUCCUCUAGCCCGAUUGUCCUUGCCUAGGAGUAGCAGUGAGAGGCACACGUGUAUGGCAAAGAUGGCACUGUAGUUGUUCUUCCAAUACAGUACAAAGGUAACUUAAUGGUCUAAACACGGACACUCUAAAUGGCAUGCUUUAAUUUCAGAAUGCCUUUAUAACUGAUAGAUACAGCGUCUGUCUUUGAAAGAAGAAAUGCCUACAUCCAUCAACAGAACAGUAGAUAAGAAAAUGUGGUCUUUACACACGGCAGAGCACUACUCUGCCAUAAGCGUGACAAACGAGUCUUUUGUAGGGAAAUGGAUGCACCUUGAGACCAUAGUGUGAAGUGAAAUAAGUCAGAAGCACAGGCUUAAAUCCUGCCUGGUUUCUCCAACAUGAGAAACCCAAAGGACAAAUAAAGAGCAAAGUAGGAGAGAGAUAAUAGGAAGCAGGGAGGCAGAACUUCCUCAAAUGGGAAGAGGACCCAGAGAGGAGGGAAGGGAGAAGGGAAAGCAAACAGCACUAAGAUGUGUUACGUGCAUCCACCAACUCCCUACAAUGAGUGUAAUCACGAUGCACUGCAA
This is a non-coding RNA of Heterocephalus glaber (naked mole-rat), 939 nucleotides long. NCBI's taxonomy places the organism in Eukaryota, Metazoa, Chordata, Mammalia, Rodentia, Bathyergidae. The record is from RefSeq and is a predicted model, not a curated record.